ACGACCGCAUCAUAUUGAAACAUUGGUUCCUGUACGAUCACCGAAGUUUAGCAACAUAGAGUCUGGUCAGUACUUAGAUCGGUGACUGCUUGGGAAUACCAGGUGUUGUAA
This is a non-coding RNA of Acanthosepion pharaonis, 111 nucleotides long. NCBI's taxonomy places the organism in Eukaryota, Metazoa, Mollusca, Cephalopoda, Sepiida, Sepiidae. The record is from the annotation of a GenBank genome assembly.